UUAAAUUGAGAGUUUGAUCCUGGCUCAGGAUGAACGCUGGCGGCGUGCUUAACACAUGCAAGUCGAGCGAUGAAGUUUCCUUCGGGAAACGGAUUAGCGGCGGACGGGUGAGUAACACGUGGGUAACCUGCCUCAUAGAGUGGAAUAGCCUUCCGAAAGGAAGAUUAAUACCGCAUAACGUUGAAAGAUGGCAUCAUCAUUUAACCAAAGGAGCAAUCCGCUAUGAGAUGGACCCGCGGCGCAUUAGCUAGUUGGUGGGGUAACGGCCUACCAAGGCGACGAUGCGUAGCCGACCUGAGAGGGUGAUCGGCCACAUUGGGACUGAGACACGGCCCAGACUCCUACGGGAGGCAGCAGUGGGGAAUAUUGCACAAUGGGGGAAACCCUGAUGCAGCAACGCCGCGUGAGUGAUGAAGGUUUUCGGAUCGUAA
RNAcentral lists this ribosomal RNA (431 nucleotides) under Clostridium perfringens. Its description in RNAcentral is "bacterial SSU rRNA". It matches the Rfam family "Bacterial small subunit ribosomal RNA", at positions 1 to 428 of the family's 1533-position model. The record is from RNAcentral. Lineage: Bacteria; Bacillati; Bacillota; Clostridia; Eubacteriales; Clostridiaceae.